Notolabrus celidotus (New Zealand spotty) is the source of this 1983-nucleotide long non-coding RNA. RefSeq lists it as uncharacterized. The transcript is spliced from 7 exons. NCBI's taxonomy places the organism in Eukaryota, Metazoa, Chordata, Actinopteri, Labriformes, Labridae. The record is from RefSeq and is a predicted model, not a curated record.
ACACGUCAUGAUGUGAGACUCAGGUAUUAACCUGCAGGACUCAAGGGCGCCCCCCUCAGUUCUCCUGGAUAGAGUCAGUCUGCAGGUCUGUGUGUUCAUGAGACAUGUCUGAGGAUGCUUCAGUGAUAGACAGGAUACAGAAACCCUGAAGAACAUCAUCCGAGCAACAGUGACGGAACCAAAGGUCCAUCUCCCCCUGGCGAGGGGGACUUUUACUGCAUCAUCAUCAUCAUCAUCAUCAUCGUCAUCAUCAUAAUCAUCAACAUCGAAGCUCAUCUCACCUUGCCAGCAUGCUCCCACUGUGAGCUGCACGUCGAUCUGAGAGGGAUGGAUGGGCCAGUCAUCAGUCACCAGGAGUUCUUACAAAGUUUGGGUGUGAUGACCUCCGGGGAGGAUGACUUCCUGCAGCAGUAUCAGCAACGAAACAUUGACAAGGUGAUCUCAACCUGAAGAUGGUCGAAGCAUCUGCAUAUAAAGCUGAGACCCUCCCAAGGUGCUGGGAAUGGAGAGAGAGUGGCAAAGGCGUGAUUACGAUGUCAAUUCAUAAACACAGCGCCCCGAGAGACUGCAUGGAUGAAAGCACCAAUGCCACUGGAAAAUUACCCACCCAGCCGGGACAAGUCAUUUGCCACACUGUGGAGCAAAACAACAAACAUUCAGAAACCAGUAUAAACACAAAGAAAGAGGACAGAAGUUCCUAAAGUACGCUGAAGAAGCCUUUCCUCUCACCGAACUGAAGCCCCGCCCCUUUAGAGUCUUCGCUUUGAAUCAUUGCUAAGAUAGCAGCUGCAGCCAGACAGACGACCAGCAGGAAGGCUUUUCUCAGUGUCAGACGGCAAGGAGGAUGAACAGCUUAUCUCACGUUUGGUGUUCCCCUGCUGCCAGACGAUGAAAUUGACAGGUGUCACCUUGUUAUUUCACAUUGUAGAAGCCAGCCGGAGUCUUCAGGGAGUUGAUUAGCACGAACCUGUUGCCGCAUUUAGACGCUCACCUACGGCACAUGCCAGGCUCGCAGGAGGAUUGAGCGGUCCUGCUGCAGUGGGGAUUCUGGUAGACCUAAAAUUAGCUCACCAGUGAAGCAAAACUGCCAACAGUAUGGUGCACAUUUAUGACAUCUGGAUGUCAUUAUCAAAUAUCUGUGGCUUUGGGGAUUUCUCCUGUCAUGUUGUGGAAUAUUUAUCAGCCAACUGCAGCUGUGAAUCAAAUUAGCCUGUUGAUAAAUCCCCCCAAUGCCUAAUUUAAUAAAGCGUGGUCUUAUAAGGAAUAUUGCUGCGAUCAAAAUUUGGAGAAAUUUGAAAAAGCAGCUGCCCUCAGAUACCUAGAAAUGUUCUUAACCACUCCUGUAAUAUGAUCUGUGUUGGGUUAUGUUGCCUGUCGAGGACUUCUCCAUGCACAGCAGUUGCAAAAUAGUUUUUUAAAAGGAUCUGAUCUGUUAUUUUGUUCACUCUUGAGGAAAUUCCUCAUGCUUUCAAGACUAGUUCUGUAUCAUCCUGAGAUAAAAUGUGUAAAAAUCUAUUAUCUUUCAAUCUGCACCAAGCUAAUCGUGGACUGCUUAUCCUAUACUCUAAUAAAACUGCUGUCAGAAGUACAUGUAGUUACAUCUAUAGGCCUGCAUACAGUAGUUUGAUGUUUGUGGCUUCUUGUCAGGUUUGUUUCUUCUUGUUUCCAUCCACACUUCUGUCAACUUUGUGUACAUACUCUGCGAGCAAUGACAACCAAGACACACAUCCUAGCAUGCUUAAACAACUCUCAAAUGGAGCUGAUUGUGAUUUUGAAAAUGAAAAAGCGAUGACAGGAGAAAUUGGAUGAUCCUGAAUGCUACUUCAUGCUAGUUUAGAUCUGCUCUUCUAUCUUCCCACAAGCCUCCACAACUCAGUCUGAAACAAACAUCAGAUGGAAUGACCCAAUAUCAAUAACCACUUAAAGGAUGACAACGGCAAACACGUCCGUCAUUAAUAUAGCAUUUUUCCCAUUAGAUUAACC